Long non-coding RNA from Astatotilapia calliptera (eastern happy), 1215 nucleotides. The record is from Ensembl. NCBI's taxonomy places the organism in Eukaryota, Metazoa, Chordata, Actinopteri, Cichliformes, Cichlidae.
GCAGAACCGGCGGGCAUGCCACUGCAGCCCCCUCUGGCUUCUGCUCCGUGGCUACUGGGUGACCCCUCAUCUGGGGCUCUCCUCAGCUCUUCCCAGGAGGGUGGCAUGGAUGCCCCUCCAGUGGUCCUCCUUGGGCUCUCGCACUCUGGGGCCUCUGGAUGUCUGGGGCCUGGAUCUCCUCCAUGCCUGCUUCAUGCCCUGGGGGACGGGGCUAUGGCUCUCUACUUCCUCUAGCAGACCAUUACAUGGGGAAACCUUUUGAAUACAAGCGCGCUGAUCCACACAGGUGUGCACACGGGUGUUCACUGUUCAUAGACAUAAACUACACCUCUAUUGGCUGCUAUUUCCAAGCACAUUGUGCGCUGUCGGUCCUGCUUGCUACACAACAACAUUCAAUAUUUAAUAUUUACUGCUGUUUACACUUAGCUAGAUUAACGUGAUGUUGUUGUGUUUAGUAUGUUGUUCUGGUUUUUUUCUUUUUUGCUUGUUUUCUCUUCUUUUUCUCUCAACAGGUGAUCCAGGAGAGUUUUUUUUCUCUUCUUUCUCUUUUUAAGUGCCCUUUCUCACUGUCCCUCUUCCCUUCUGUUUUUCUUUUCCUUCAUCUUUCUUUCUCCCUUGGUUUACAACUGAAAAUAAAAUAAAAUAAAUAAUAACAACAAAGGUCGAUCAAAUGGACCAAUACGGCAAGGCCGUGAUGAUCCAUUUGGCAAAGUAAAUCCAUUGGGUAUCCUUGUUGGUCUUCAGACAACAAUUCUGACGGCUAAAGAACCAAAUGGGACAGGCAAAAAGAAAAAAAAAAGUGACCCAACUAGUUGGCAAGUUGUUGUCAGAGAUUACUGGCAGCUGUUAAAACUGGUUGCAAUGAAUACCUCCUUGCAAAAGCCUUGAUCACCAGUCACCUGUAGUUUGCACAGAGGAUGCUUAGUCGUCUGCAAACAUUCUCUAGGGAGGCAAACGUUCUUUGCUUCCAGUUUGCAUUGACCUUUCACAAGUUUCUCUACAGCUCAGAGAGUACGUGACAAGUGCUUGCAGACAUGUUGGCAUUUUUCAUGCAAACUGUGGGUGGCAGCAUCAAUCUGCUAGCAGCCAAAACAAUUUCAAUCAGGCUUUGUUUUGUUGCACCAGGCGACAGGCAGAAACCACUCACCAACUGGCUGUGGAAUAUAUAUUUUUCCUAGAAGACUGGAGGUUGCCAGGGAGUCGACGACUGGUCUC